This 484-nucleotide ribosomal RNA is filed under the name uncultured bacterium. RNAcentral describes it as "bacterial SSU rRNA". It matches the Rfam family "Bacterial small subunit ribosomal RNA", at positions 30 to 507 of the family's 1533-position model. The record is from RNAcentral.
AUUGAACGCUGGCGGAAUGCUUUACACAUGCAAGUCGAACGGCAGCACGGACUUCGGUCUGGUGGCGAGUGGCGAACGGGUGAGUAAUAUAUCGGAACGUGCCCAGUCGUGGGGGAUAACGUAGUGAAAAUUACGCUAAUACCGCAUACGAUCUAUGGAUGAAAGCGGGGGAUCGCAAGACCUCGCGCGAUUGGAGCGGCCGAUAUCAGAUUAGGUAGUUGGUGAGGUAAAGGCUCACCAAGCCGACGAUCUGUAGCUGGUCUGAGAGGACGACCAGCCACACUGGAACUGAGACACGGUCCAGACUCCUACGGGAGGCAGCAGUGGGGAAUUUUGGACAAUGGGCGCAAGCCUGAUCCAGCCAUUCCGCGUGCAGGACGAAGGCCUUCGGGUUGUAAACUGCUUUUGUACAGAACGAAAAGCUCUGGGUUAAUACCUCGGGGUCAUGACGGUACUGUAAGAAUAAGCACCGGCUAACUACGUG